AAAUGUGACAGAAUUUUAAAAGAAAUAGAAACUAUAGUUGGAGAUUUAGCCAUUCCUUUCACAUUAACUGAUGAUAAAACUACAGUGAAAACCAGUAAGGAUAUAGAAGACUUGAACAGCACUACUAACUUAUAAGACCAAAUUGACAUUUAAAGAGUAUUCUGGCUGGGUGCGAUGGCUCACACCUGUAAUCCCAGCACUUUGGGAGGCUGAGGUGGGCGGAUCUUGAGGUCAGGAGAUCGAGACCAUCCUGGCCAACAUGGUGAAACCCCGCAUCUACUAAAAAUACAAAAAUUAACAGAUUGAGUCUCUCUCUGUCGCCCAGGCUGGAGUGCAGUGGUGCGAUCUCAGCUCACUGCAACCUCUGCCUCCCGGGUUAAAGCAAUUCUCCUGCCUCAGCCUCCUGAGUAGCUGGGACUACAGGCGCCCGCCACCACGCCCGGCUAAUUUUUUGUAUUUUUAGUAGAGACGGGGUUUCACCAUGUUAGCCAGGAUGGUCUUGAUCUCCUGACCUCGUGAUCCGCGCACCCCUCACUCCCAAAAUGCUGGGAU
RNAcentral lists this long non-coding RNA (552 nucleotides) under Pan troglodytes (chimpanzee). RNAcentral describes it as "long non-coding RNA NONPTRT012050". The record is from RNAcentral. Lineage: Eukaryota; Metazoa; Chordata; Mammalia; Primates; Hominidae.